Molecule: ribosomal RNA, 217 nt
Filed under: Listeria monocytogenes
Lineage: Bacteria; Bacillati; Bacillota; Bacilli; Caryophanales; Listeriaceae
Description: partial 23S ribosomal RNA
Rfam family: Bacterial large subunit ribosomal RNA
Source: RNAcentral
CGGGAGUCAGACUGCGAGUGAUAAGAUCCGUAGUCGAAAGGGAAACAGCCCAGACCACCAGUUAAGGUCCCCAAAUAUAUGUUAAGUGGAAAAGGAUGUGGGGUUGCUUAGACAACCAGGAUGUUGGCUUAGAAGCAGCCACCAUUGAAAGAGUGCGUAAUAGCUCACUGGUCGAGUGACCCCGCGCCGAAAAUGUACCGGGGCUAAACAUAUUACC